UUGGCUUUUCAGUUUGUGCUACAAUAAGAGAUUGGAACAGAGUUUCUUUUUUGUUGCCAAAGAUUAGGGCAGAGUUGAGAUUGGAACAGAGUUUAUUGUGUUGCUGAGGUUGAACUAAAAAGUUCAAGAGAGAUACGGUCAUAUUUAAGUUUAAAUUGACAAAACCAGUCUAAGAAAAUAUCGAGACUCUUUCUUGUUUACUGUAUGAACAGAGAUUUCUUUUCAUAAAAUAAAAUAGUAUCUACAUUCAUAGAGUAAAGCUUGAGGAAGUAACCUCUUU
RNAcentral lists this long non-coding RNA (280 nucleotides) under Prunus persica (peach). RNAcentral describes it as "long non-coding RNA (PPER_LNC003743)". The record is from RNAcentral. Lineage: Eukaryota; Viridiplantae; Streptophyta; Magnoliopsida; Rosales; Rosaceae.